RNAcentral lists this ribosomal RNA (403 nucleotides) under Starmerella bacillaris. RNAcentral's name for it is "eukaryotic LSU rRNA". The stretch from base 100 to 248 matches the Rfam family "5.8S ribosomal RNA". The record is from RNAcentral. Lineage: Eukaryota; Fungi; Ascomycota; Dipodascomycetes; Dipodascales; Trichomonascaceae.
CUGUGACAGCUUAGACUUCGGUCUUUGCAAUUGCUUGGGUGUCGAAAGGCGCCCAAUCUUUAAAACUUUUAUAUUUGUUCUGAAACAAUGAAAAUUUAAAACUUUCAACAACGGAUCUCUUGGUUCUCGUAUCGAUGAAGAACGCAGCAAAGCGCGAUAGGUAAUGCGAAUUGCAGACGUGAGUCAUUGAAUUUUUGAACGCAUAUUGCGCUAUUAGUUUGUCUAAUAGCAUGCUUGUUGGAGUGAUAAUCUUCCUCUCAACCAUUUUUGGUAUGAGGUCUUGCUCCUUUUAGGAGUUAAAAUCAUGGAAGUGCACACGUUAAUUAACUCUGUGCAGUUAUACACUUUUCAUCCUCCAAUCAAGCAAGGUUACCCGCUGAACUUAAGCAUAUCAAUAANCGGA